Molecule: ribosomal RNA, 413 nt
Filed under: uncultured prokaryote
Description: bacterial SSU rRNA
Rfam family: Bacterial small subunit ribosomal RNA
Source: RNAcentral
GUGUCAGCAGCCGCGGUAAUACGUAGGGUGCAAGCGUUAAUCGGAAUUACUGGGCGUAAAGCGUGCGCAGGCGGUUUUGUAAGUCUGUCGUGAAAUCCCCGGGCUCAACCUGGGAAUUGCGAUGGAGACUGCAAGGCUAGAAUCUGGCAGAGGGGGGUAGAAUUCCACGUGUAGCAGUGAAAUGCGUAGAGAUGUGGAGGAACACCGAUGGCGAAGGCAGCCCCCUGGGUCAAGAUUGACGCUCAUGCACGAAAGCGUGGGGAGCAAACAGGAUUAGAUACCCUGGUAGUCCACGCCCUAAACGAUGUCUACUAGUUGUCGGGUUUUAAUUAACUUGGUAACGCAGCUAACGCGUGAAGUAGACCGCCUGGGGAGUACGGUCGCAAGAUUAAAACUUAAAUGAAUUGACGGGG